RNAcentral lists this transfer RNA (75 nucleotides) under Candidatus Woesearchaeota archaeon. RNAcentral's name for it is "tRNA-Met". It matches the Rfam family "tRNA". Rfam says of the family: Transfer RNA (tRNA) molecules are approximately 80 nucleotides in length. Their secondary structure includes four short double-helical elements and three loops (D, anti-codon, and T loops). Lineage: Archaea; Nanobdellati; Candidatus Woesearchaeota. RNAcentral also lists the same sequence under 1 other name. The record is from RNAcentral.
GGCGAGGUAGCUCAGCCUGGCUAGAGCGCGGGAUUCAUAACCCCGAGGUCGCGAGUUCAAAUCUCGCUCUCGCCA